RNAcentral lists this non-coding RNA (92 nucleotides) under bovine gut metagenome. RNAcentral describes it as "Glycine riboswitch". It matches the Rfam family "Glycine riboswitch aptamer", at positions 8 to 87 of the family's 94-position model. Rfam says of the family: This family represents the bacterial glycine riboswitch. Glycine riboswitches usually consist of two metabolite-binding aptamers domains with similar structures in tandem. The record is from RNAcentral.
GAAUCGGGAGAGACCGCGAGGCUCAGAAUCAAGCAUUUUGGGCGGGCGGCGCCGAAGGGGCAAGCAAAAACUCUCAGGCAAAAGGACCGGUU